UCUUCCCUCUGGCGGCGUGCCUAAUACAUGCAAGUCGAGCGAACAGACGAGGAGCUUGCUCCUCUGACGUUAGCGGCGGACGGGUGAGUAACACGUGGAUAACCUACCUAUAAGACUGGGAUAACUUCGGGAAACCGGAGCUAAUACCGGAUAAUAUAUUGAACCGCAUGGUUCAAUAGUGAAAGACGGUUUUGCUGUCACUUAUAGAUGGAUCCGCGCCGCAUUAGCUAGUUGGUAAGGUAACGGCUUACCAAGGCAACGAUGCGUAGCCGACCUGAGAGGGUGAUCGGCCACACUGGAACUGAGACACGGUCCAGACUCCUACGGGAGGCAGCAGUAGGGAAUCUUCCGCAAUGGGCGAAAGCCUGACGGAGCAACGCCGCGUGAGUGAUGAAGGUCUUCGGAUCGUAAAACUCUGUUACUAGGGAAGAACAAAUGUGUAAGUAACUAUGCACGUCUUGACGGUACCUAAUCAGAAAGCCACGGCUAACUACGUG
Molecule: ribosomal RNA, 497 nt
Filed under: uncultured bacterium
Lineage: Bacteria
Description: partial 16S ribosomal RNA
Rfam family: Bacterial small subunit ribosomal RNA
Source: RNAcentral